AACGCUAGCGGCAGGCUACACAUGCAAGUCGAGGGAGAGGUUACCUUCGGGUAACUGAAACCGGCGCACGGGUGCGUAACGCGUAUACAAUCUGCCUUUCACAUAGGGAUAGCCCGAAGUAAUUUGGAUUAAUACCUAAUGGUAUAUAAGAGCGGCAUCGUUUUUAUAUUAAAGCUACGGUGGUGAAAGAUGAGUAUGCGUUCUAUUAGCUAGUUGGAGGGGUAACGGCUCCCCAAGGCGACGAUAGAUAGGGGUUCUGGGAGGGAUGUCCCCCACACUGGUACUGAGAUACGGACCAGACUCCUACGGGAGGCAGCAGUGAGGAAUAUUGGACAAUGGUCGGAAGACUGAUCCAGCCAUGCCGCGUGCAGGAUGAAGGUCCUAUGGAUUGUAAACUGCUUUUGUAAGGGAAGAAUAAGGGGUACGUGUACUUUGAUGACGGUACCUUACGAAUAAGCAUCGGCUAACUCCGUGCCAGCAGCCGCGGUAAUACGGAGGAUGCGAGCGUUAUCCGGAAUCAUUGGGUUUAAAGGGUCCGUAGGCGGGCUGAUAAGUCAGAGGUGAAAGCGCUUAGCUCAACUAAGCAACUGCCUUUGAAACUGUCAGUCUUGAAUGAUUGUGAAGUAGUUGGAAUGUGUAGUGUAGCGGUGAAAUGCUUAGAUAUUACACAGAACACCGAUAGCGAAGGCAUAUUACUAACAAUUUAUUGACGCUGAUGGACGAAAGCGUGGGGAGCGAACAGGAUUAGAUACCCUGGUAGUCCACGCUGUAAACGAUGGAUACUAGCUGUUUGGAGCAAUCUGAGUGGCUAAGCGAAAGUGAUAAGUAUCCCACCUGGGGAGUACGCACGCAAGUGU
Molecule: ribosomal RNA, 857 nt
Filed under: uncultured Bacteroidota bacterium
Lineage: Bacteria; Pseudomonadati; Bacteroidota
Description: bacterial SSU rRNA
Rfam family: Bacterial small subunit ribosomal RNA
Source: RNAcentral